Fomitopsis betulina (razor strop fungus) is the source of this 85-nucleotide non-coding RNA. The record is from the annotation of a GenBank genome assembly. Lineage: Eukaryota; Fungi; Basidiomycota; Agaricomycetes; Polyporales; Fomitopsidaceae.
UCCCUGGUAGUAUAUCGGUUAGUACACGCGCCUGUCAUCUUGGCUUUGUGCGCGCGAAAGCGGGGUUCGACUCCCCGCCAGGGAG